RNAcentral lists this ribosomal RNA (253 nucleotides) under uncultured bacterium. RNAcentral's name for it is "partial 16S ribosomal RNA". It matches the Rfam family "Bacterial small subunit ribosomal RNA", at positions 524 to 776 of the family's 1533-position model. The record is from RNAcentral.
UACGUAGGUGGCAAGCGAUACUCGGAAUCACUAGGCGUAAAGCGCAGGUAGGCGGUUUGGUAAGUCUUUUGUGAAAGCUCCCGGCUCAACUGGGAGAGGUCAAAGGAAACUGCUGAACUAGAGUUUGGUAGGUGAUACUGGAAUUCCUGGUGUAGCGGUGAAAUGCGUAGAUAUCAGGAGGAAUACCUAUGGCGAAAGCAGGUAUCUGGGCCACAACUGACGCUGAGCUGCGAAAGCUAGGGGAGCAAACAGG